UACGUAGGGUGCAAGCGUUAAUCGGAAUUACUGGGCGUAAAGCGUGCGCAGGCGGUUGUGCAAGACAGAUGUGAAAUCCCCGGGCUCAACCCUGGGAAUUGCAUUUGUGACUGCACGGCUAGAGUGUGUCAGAGGGGGGUAGAAUUCCACGUGUGAAGCAGUGAAAUGCGUAGAGAUGUGGAGGAAUACCGAUGGCGAAGGCAGCCCCCUGGGAUAACACGUGACGCCUGCAUACGCUGACAGAAAGCGUGGGGAGCAAACGGAAUUACUCCGUGUAGUCAGACCAAGUACUCUGC
RNAcentral lists this ribosomal RNA (296 nucleotides) under uncultured bacterium. RNAcentral's name for it is "partial 16S ribosomal RNA". It matches the Rfam family "Bacterial small subunit ribosomal RNA", at positions 524 to 812 of the family's 1533-position model. The record is from RNAcentral.